CGACGGUGGAUAAGGGCCGUGUGUGUCUCUUUGUCUGUGUUGUGGCUGUAUGAUUGUGGUAUUUGAGAGCUGAAUUUAGUGAUUUUUAUAAUCUCAAGUGAUAGUUACAAGAGCCGUGGGUCCGUAGGCCUACCUUACUCCGGACUUACAGUUAUUUUUGUUUUUACUUUUGUUUUGUUUAUGUUUACGUCGCUUCCCGGAACAGCUGGUGGUUGGCUUCGUGACUUCACAGCAUCGAAAGAGGUGAGCGUCCGGCUGACGCCAGUGCAUGCCAGCGCGCCAUGGCAGGCGGGUGAAUAUUAAUUGGUGAUUUGGUGCUUUUAAUUGCUAGAGAGAGAGAGAGAGAGAGAG
Molecule: long non-coding RNA, 351 nt
Organism: Penaeus indicus
Lineage: Eukaryota; Metazoa; Arthropoda; Malacostraca; Decapoda; Penaeidae
Exons: 3
Source: RefSeq, a predicted model, not a curated record